This 376-nucleotide unclassified non-coding RNA is filed under the name soil metagenome. RNAcentral's name for it is "partial contains 5.8S ribosomal RNA, internal transcribed spacer 2, and large subunit ribosomal RNA". The stretch from base 1 to 120 matches the Rfam family "5.8S ribosomal RNA", at positions 35 to 154 of the family's 154-position model. The record is from RNAcentral.
GAUGAAGAACGCAGCGAAAUGCGAUAAGUAAUGUGAAUUGCAGAAUUCAGUGAAUCAUCGAAUCUUUGAACGCAUCUUGCGCUCCUUGGUAUUCUGAGGAGCAUGCCUGUUUGAGUGUCAUUAAAUUCUCAACUACACUGACUUUAAAUUGGUGUGGCUUGGAUUUGGGGGGAAAAUUGUUGUGGGCUUUUUGUAUAGUCUGCUCCCCUGAAAUUGAUUAGCGGUACCUUUGUGGAACUGUCUACAGGUGUGAUAAUUAUCUACAUCUUAGACAUCUGCUGGAAUGCUGCUUUCUAAACCUUACUUGUAUUGACAAUCUUGACCUCAAAUCAGGUAGGACUACCCGCUGAACUUAAGCAUAUCAAUAAGCGGAGGA